This 90-nucleotide transfer RNA is filed under the name Candida albicans. It matches the Rfam family "tRNA". From Rfam's summary of the family: Transfer RNA (tRNA) molecules are approximately 80 nucleotides in length. Lineage: Eukaryota; Fungi; Ascomycota; Pichiomycetes; Serinales; Debaryomycetaceae. RNAcentral also lists the same sequence under 23 other names. The record is from Rfam by way of RNAcentral.
GCCUGGCUAGCUCAAUCGGUAGAGCAUUUGACUCUUAGAAUUAUUUCCAAAGUCAUCAAAAGGUUGCGGGUUCGAGCCCCGCGUUGGGCU